Molecule: ribosomal RNA, 429 nt
Filed under: uncultured bacterium
Lineage: Bacteria
Description: bacterial SSU rRNA
Rfam family: Bacterial small subunit ribosomal RNA
Source: RNAcentral
AGAGUGGCGGACGGGUGCGCAACGCGUAUGCAACCCACCCCGACCCGGGGCAUAGCCGGUGGAAACGCCGGGUAAUGCGCCAUGAGCCGCGCAGGGGGCAUCCCCGCGUGGCAAAGCGAGAGCGGGACGGGACGGGCAUGCGUCCCAUUAGCUUGUUGGCGGGGUGAAGGCCCACCAAGGCGACGAUGGGUAGGGGAUCUGAGAGGACGGUCCCCCACACUGGUACUGAGACACGGACCAGACUCCUGCGGGAGGCAGCAGUAAGGGAUAUUGGUCAAUGGGCGGAAGCCUGAACCAGCCAUGCCCGCGUGAGGGAAUGAGGCCCUACGGGUCGUGAACCUCUUUUAUUCGGGGACAACGGCGGCGUCGCGAACGCCGUGUGAGGGUACCGAAGGAAUAAGCGUCGGCUAACUCCGUGCCAGCAGCCGC